Molecule: non-coding RNA, 188 nt
Filed under: Desulfobacteraceae bacterium
Lineage: Bacteria; Pseudomonadati; Thermodesulfobacteriota; Desulfobacteria; Desulfobacterales; Desulfobacteraceae
Source: RNAcentral
AUAAGGUGUGUAAUUUCAGGUGGCUGUAAAAAGCCUAACAGGGAAUCCGGUUUAAAGCCGGAACGGACCCGCCGCUGUGAUUGGGGACGAAAACUGUGUAAUGCCACUGCCGGUUUGAAGCUGGUGGGAAGGCGCAGUGAGUAGAAUGAUCCAGGAGUCAGAAGACCUGCCUGACAUAUAUAUGUUGU